Molecule: long non-coding RNA, 865 nt
Organism: Bos taurus (domestic cattle)
Lineage: Eukaryota; Metazoa; Chordata; Mammalia; Artiodactyla; Bovidae
Source: Ensembl
GUCUGAGCCACCAGGGAAGCUUGUGUUUUAUUACAGAUGCACGAUAAAUAGGGCAGGUUUAGAAAGCUCUCUCUAGGGAAUGGUAGAUGAUGGACUGGAGUUGGGUACGAAAGGCAGUUGGACCAGUGAGUGGAGUUUGCAGCAGAGCAGGUACAAGAUCUGCAUUUGGUCGUUGAUCCCAGAAAUGAAGUGGGGCGGUGGGGGAUGUUUCCAAAGCAGGAUGCCCUUUGUCCCUUAAGCAACAGGACCCUGUUGUCUCUAAACUUCAGGACAGAAAUGACUCUAGGGAGCUCCCCCAUGCCUCCCUCUGGGUUACAGACACCUCUGCUGGCGCCCUCUCUCGUCCCCGUCGCCAGCCCCCGCCUCCUUUCUCAGGAAGCUUGGGUCUCCCUGGGAGCGGGUCUGCCCUUGGGGGAGGCCUGUCGACUCGGCGCCCUGCAGCCCGACGGACAUUCGGGGCGGAUCGAAGAGGGGCUCGGCGCCCCCUGCGUGCACAUGUGCUAGCCCGGGCAGGAGGGAGCGCCUCCGCGGAGGAGUCCAGGAAGAGGGGGCAGGGAGAGGCGCUCCAGAACCUCGGUCCCGGGCGCCCUGGUCGGCCGCGGUGGAGCUGCAGCUUCCAACAGGAGGAAGCUGAGGCUCAGAGAAAUGGAAUGGAUUUCCCCAAAGCCAGAACUCAAAGCCAGAUCUGACCGACCGUAAAUCCCAACCAUUGACACCAGUCAGAAAUCACAAUGAAGCCAGAAAGCAGUGUGGUCAGUGGUACCGCAGCAUCAUUGCCUGAACUGGUGACUAAGACGGACGACUGCUGUCAAGAGCAGGUGGACCUGUCAGCCUUGGUUCCUCUUCCAGGUGGCCCCCAAGCUUG